This is an RNA transcript of Taeniopygia guttata (zebra finch), 5963 nucleotides long. It is a transcript of the gene named NADH-ubiquinone oxidoreductase chain 2-like, with no coding region annotated. Lineage: Eukaryota; Metazoa; Chordata; Aves; Passeriformes; Estrildidae. The record is from RefSeq and is a predicted model, not a curated record.
CGUAGCUUAAGCAAAAGCAUUCAGCUUACACCUGAAAAAUAUCUGCUAACACCAGAUCGUCUUGAUGCCAAACUCUAGCCCAAUCGACAUGACCUGGAAUAACAAAGCUACUACAUACACCCAACUAAAGCAUUCACUAGUCCUAGUAUAGGCGAUAGAAAAGACACCAUUGGAGCGAUAGAGACCACGUACCGUAAGGGAAAGAUGAAAUAACAAUGAAAACUAAGCUAUAAACAGCAAAGAUCAACCCUUGUACCUUUUGCAUCAUGGUCUAGCAAGAAAAACCAAGCAAAAUGAAUUUAAGUUUGCCAUCCCGAAACCCAAGCGAGCUACCUACGAGCAGCUGUCAGAGCGAACCCGUCUCUGUGGCAAAAGAGUGGGAUGACUUGUCGGUAGAGGUGAAAAGCCAAUCGAGCUGGGUGAUAGCUGGUUGCCUGUGAAACGAAUCUAAGUUCACUCUUAAUUCUUCUCCAAGGAAACUCAAGAACCCUAAUGAAGCGAAUUAAGGGCUAUUUAAAGGAGGUACAGCUCCUUUAAAAAAGAAUACAAUCUCUACGAGCGGAUAAAUAAUAACAUACGAACUUACUGUGGGCCCUUAAGCAGCCAUCAACAAAGAGUGCGUUAAAGCUCCGUACCCAAAAAAUAUAAGAAUUUUAUGACUCCCUCCCCACUAACAGGCUAACCUAUAUACAAAUAGGAGAAUUAAUGCUAGAAUGAGUAACCAGGGUCCUCCCUCUACGACGCAAGCUUACAUCUAUACAUUAUUAACAAACCACCAAUAUACGAUAAAUCAAACAAGCAGAGUAUUAGGUAUCUUGUUAACCCGACAGAGGAGCGUCCAUUAAGAAAGAUUAAAACCUGUAAAAGGAACUAGGCAAACCCGUCAAGGCCCGACUGUUUACCAAAAACAUAGCCUUCAGCAAACCAACAAACAAGUAUUGAAGGUGAUGCCUGCCCGGUGACUCACGUUUAACGGCCGCGGUAUCCUAACCGUGCAAAGGUAGCGCAAUCAAUUGUCCCAUAAAUCGAGACUUGUAUGAAUGGCUAAACGAGGUCUUAACUGUCUCUUACAGGCAAUCGGUGAAAUUGAUCUCCCUGUACAAAAGCAGGGAUAAACCCAUAAGACGAGAAGACCCUGUGGAACUUCAAAACCAACGACCACCUUAUAUCACAUAUACACCCACUGGGCUCACUGACACAUAAGAGAUUGGUACGUGUUUUUCGGUUGGGGCGACCUUGGAGUAAAACAAAGCCUCCAAAAAUUAGACCAUAAAUCUAGACUAAGAGCAACCCCUCAACGUGCUAACAGCACCCAGACCCAAUAUAAUUGAUCAAUGGACCAAGCUACCCCAGGGAUAACAGCGCAAUCUCCUCCGAGAGUCCGUAUCGACGGGGAGGUUUACGACCUCGAUGUUGGAUCAGGACAUCCUAGUGGUGCAGCCGCUACUAAGGGUUCGUUUGUUCAACGAUUAACAGUCCUACGUGAUCUGAGUUCAGACCGGAGUAAUCCAGGUCGGUUUCCAUCUAUGAUGAACUCUUCCCAGUACGAAAGGAUAGGAAAAGUGAGGCCAAUACUACAAGCAAGCCUUCGCCUUAAGUAAUGAAGUCAACUAAAUUACGAAAAGCUAUCACACCCCCCCACAUCCAAGAAAAGGACCAGCUAGCGUGGCAGAGUUCGGAAAAUGCAAAAGGCUUAAGUCCUUUAACCCAGAGGUUCAAAUCCUCUCCCUAGCUCCAAACUACCCCAUGACCAACUACCCUCUCCUAAUUAACCUCAUCAUAGCCCUCUCCUAUGCUCUCCCAAUCCUGAUCGCAGUAGCCUUCCUAACACUAGUAGAACGUAAAAUCCUAAGUUAUAUACAAAGCCGAAAAGGCCCAAAUAUCGUGGGACCAUUCGGACUCCUCCAACCCCUAGCAGAUGGCAUCAAAUUAUUUAUCAAAGAACCCAUCUGACCAUCAACAUCCUCCCCAAUCCUAUUUAUCACAACGCCCAUGCUAGCCCUCCUCCUAGCAAUUUCAAUUUGAAUACCACUCCCCCUACCAUUCUCCCUAGCGGACCUAAACCUAGGCGUUCUAUUCCUACUAGUCAUAUCAAGCCUAGCAGUGUACUCCAUCUUAUGAUCAGGAUGGGUCUCCAACUCAAAAUACGCCUUAAUUGGGGCACUCCGAGCAGUAGCCCAAACAAUCUCCUACAAAGUAACCUUAGCGAUUAUCCUACUAUCUGUCAUCCUCCUCAUCAGAAACUACACCCUAAGUACCCUAGCAGUCACCCAAAAACCCUUCUACCUCAUCUUCCCAUGCUGACCACUAGCCAUAAUAUGAUAUGUAUCCACGCUAGCCGAAACAAAUCGUGCCCCAUUCGACCUAACAGAGGGAGAAUCUGAACUAGUCUCCGGAUUUAACGUAGAAUAUGCAGCAGGUCCAUUCGCCCUAUUCUUCCUAGCCGAAUACGCCAACAUCAUACUAAUAAACGCACUGACUACCAUCCUAUUCUUUAACCCAAGCUUCCUCAACCCCCAACAAGAAUUAUUUCCAGUAGUACUAGCAACAAAAGUACUCCUCCUAUCAGCAGGAUUCCUGUGAAUCCGUGCUUCCUACCCGCGAUUCCGAUACGACCAGCUAAUACACCUACUAUGAAAAAACUUCCUCCCACUCACAUUAGCCCUAUGCCUAUGACACAUCAGCAUACCAAUUUGCUAUGCAGGCCUACCCCCAUACCUAAGACAACCGGAAAUGUGCCUGAACACUUAAGGGUCACUAUGAUAAAGUGAACAUAGAGGUGCACCAAUCCUCUCAUUUCCUGAUACUUAGAAAAGUAGGGAUCGAACCUACACUAGAGAAAUCAAAACCCUCUAUACUUCCUUUAUAUUAUUUUCUAGCAGGGUCAGCUAAACAAGCUAUCGGGCCCAUACCCCGAAAAUGAUGGUUCAACCCCUUCCCCUGCUAAUGAACCCCCAAGCAAAACUAAUCUUCAUCACCAGCCUCCUAUUAGGCACUACCAUUACAAUUUCAAGCAACCAUUGAAUUAUAGCCUGAACUGGGCUAGAAAUCAACACACUCGCUAUCCUACCACUAAUCUCAAAAUCCCAUCACCCCCGAGCCAUCGAAGCCGCAACCAAGUACUUCCUAACCCAAGCAGCUGCCUCAGCCCUAGUAUUAUUCUCCAGCAUAACCAACGCAUGACAUACCGGACAAUGAGAUAUUACCCAACUAACCCACCCAACAUCCUGCCUGAUCCUAACCUCCGCAAUUGCAAUAAAACUGGGCCUGGUACCCUUCCACUUCUGAUUCCCAGAAGUACUACAAGGCUCUCCCCUUACCACCGGACUCAUCCUAUCCACAGCCAUAAAACUACCACCCAUAACACUCCUCUUUAUAACCUCACCCUCCCUAAACCCUGCCCUUCUGACUACCAUAGCCAUCCUCUCAACAGCCCUGGGAGGAUGAAUAGGACUGAACCAAACACAAGUCCGAAAAGUUCUAGCCUUCUCAUCCAUCUCCCACCUAGGAUGAAUAGCUAUCAUCAUCACGUACAACCCCAAACUCACCCUCCUCAAUUUCUACCUAUACACACUAAUAACCGCAGCUGUAUUCCUAACCCUAAAUUCAAUCAAAGUCCUAAAACUAUCAACCCUAAUAACUGCAUGAACAAAAGCCCCAUCACUAAGCGCAAUACUAAUACUAACUCUACUAUCCCUUGCAGGACUGCCCCCUCUAAAAGGAUUCCUCCCAAAAUGACUCAUCAUCCAAGAAUUAACCAAACAAGACAUAGCCCCAGCAGCCACAAUCAUCUCCCUACUAUCCCUGCUAGGACUAUUCUUCUACCUCCGACUUGCAUAUUGCGCAACCAUCACACUCCCCCCACACACCAUCAGCCACAUAAAACAAUGGCAUGUUAACAAACCAACUAAAACCCUAGUCGCCAUCCUGACUUCCCUAUCCAUCACUCUCCUCCCAAUUGCCCCAAUAAUCAUCACCAUCAUCUAAGAAACUUAGGAUCACUUAAACCGAAGGCCUUCAAAGCCUUAAACAAGAGUUAAACCCUCUUAGUUUCUGAUAAAGUCCGCAGGACAUUACCCUGCAUCUCCCAAACGCAACUCGGGCACUUUAAUUAAGCUAGGACCUUACCCACCAACUAGGCAGAUGGGCUUCGAUCCCACAACACUAUAGUUAACAGCUAUAUGCCCAAACCAACAGGCUUCUACCUACAGACCCCGGCGCAUAAUUAAUGCACAUCAAUGAGCUUGCAACUCACCAUGAACUUCACCACAGGGCUGAUAAGAAGAGGAAUUAAACCUCUGUAAAAAGGACUACAGCCUAACGCUUAUACACUCAGCCAUCUUACCUAUGACAUACAUUAACCGAUGAUUAUUCUCAACCAACCACAAAGACAUCGGAACCCUAUACCUAAUCUUCGGCGCCUGAGCCGGAAUAGUGGGUACCGCCCUAAGCCUCCUCAUUCGAGCAGAAUUAGGCCAACCUGGAGCCCUCCUAGGAGACGACCAAGUAUACAACGUCGUCGUCACGGCCCAUGCUUUUGUGAUAAUCUUCUUCAUAGUUAUACCAAUCAUGAUCGGAGGAUUUGGAAACUGACUAGUACCUCUGAUGAUCGGAGCCCCAGACAUAGCAUUCCCACGAAUAAAUAACAUAAGCUUCUGACUUCUACCCCCAUCCUUCCUCCUACUACUAGCAUCCUCAACAGUCGAAGCAGGAGUUGGAACGGGCUGAACAGUGUACCCCCCACUAGCCGGAAACCUAGCCCAUGCUGGAGCUUCAGUAGACCUAGCUAUCUUCUCCCUGCACUUAGCAGGCAUUUCCUCAAUCCUAGGGGCAAUCAAUUUCAUCACAACAGCAAUCAACAUAAAACCACCUGCCCUAUCACAAUACCAAACCCCCCUAUUCGUAUGAUCCGUACUAAUCACUGCAGUCCUACUUCUACUAUCACUUCCAGUCCUAGCUGCUGGAAUCACAAUGCUCCUCACAGACCGUAACCUAAACACAACAUUCUUUGACCCAGCAGGUGGAGGAGACCCAGUACUAUACCAACACCUCUUCUGAUUCUUUGGUCACCCAGAAGUUUACAUCCUAAUCCUACCAGGUUUCGGCAUCAUCUCCCACGUCGUAACCUACUAUUCAGGUAAAAAAGAACCAUUCGGAUAUAUAGGAAUAGUAUGAGCUAUGCUAUCCAUUGGAUUCCUAGGAUUCAUCGUAUGAGCCCACCACAUGUUUACAGUAGGAAUGGACGUAGACACCCGAGCAUACUUUACAUCCGCCACUAUAAUCAUCGCCAUCCCAACCGGCAUCAAAGUAUUCAGCUGACUAGCAACACUCCACGGAGGCACAAUCAAGUGAGACCCACCAAUACUAUGAGCCCUAGGAUUUAUUUUCCUAUUUACCAUCGGAGGCCUAACCGGAAUCGUCCUGGCCAACUCCUCACUAGACAUCGCCCUACACGACACCUACUACGUAGUAGCCCACUUCCACUACGUCCUAUCAAUAGGAGCAGUGUUUGCAAUCCUAGCAGGAUUCACCCACUGAUUCCCCCUAUUCACAGGGUACACACUCCACUCAACAUGAGCCAAAGUACACUUCGGAGUAAUAUUCGUAGGAGUAAACCAAACGUUCUUCCCCCCCUUCUUAGGCCUAGCUGGCAUGCCACGACAAUACUCGGACUACCCAGACACCUACACACUAUGAAACACCAUCUCAUCAGUAGGAUCACUCAUCUCCCUAACAGCUGUAAUCAUACUAGUGUUCAUUAUCUGAGAAGCUUUCGCAUCAAAACGUAAAGUCCUACAACCAGAACUAACAAGCACUAAUAUUGAAUGAAUUCACGGCUGCCCACCACCCUUCCACACAUUCGAAGAACCAGCCUUCGUCCAAGUCCAAGAAAGGAAGGAGUCGAACCCCCGCAUGUUGGUUUCAAGCCAACCGCAUAACCACCUAUGCUUCUUUCUCAUAAA